This 1021-nucleotide long non-coding RNA is filed under the name Capra hircus (goat). RNAcentral describes it as "lncRNA (ENSCHIG00010025967.1)". Lineage: Eukaryota; Metazoa; Chordata; Mammalia; Artiodactyla; Bovidae. The record is from RNAcentral.
GGUCUACCUGUGCCAGAGAGGAUGUGGCAGGAGUGGCUGGGGCCGCACCACUUGUAGCUGUUACAUUUGGCAGAAAAAGAAACUUCGCUUCUUUCAGAUGGCUGAUUCUAUUUUCAAGUCUUCACCCACUGGGAAUGUUUUAGGCCUAUUAUUGAAAAUCCAGUGGGUGGAUGCAGCAGAGCUGAACAAUAAAGAACGCUGCCAUAGAGAGUUCUGGAAACUGAAAAUACAUCUUUAGGUAGUAAUAAUCAUGUUGGCAUAAGUUCACAGUUUUGAAAGUAGGUUUACACAUGCCUUAUUUAGCUUAAGAAUCAUUUUUCCCCAGAGGGAAUUGCGUAAUCUUGUGGUAUCCCGUUGUUUAGUUGUGUGCCUUAUGCCACUGUGACCAUCGUUGGAGAGCUUAAGCAUUUUCUUGAUUCGUUUGUCAGAUUGUUAAUCAGUGUCCCAGUUGAACCUGCUCCUGUAAAGUGUGGGGAUUCAGUAUCCACUCUCAACUCUUUAUUGUCUCAAUUUCUUCAAGGAAAAAUACCCUGCAGUCUGACCACUCCAGCAUUAAGAUGAUGCCUGGUUUGCAAUGAUAAAAUUAAAAACAAAACAAAACGCAAAGUUGUCUGGGCUUCCCCAACUCUUGGGCUAUUUCUUGGUGCCCAUCAAUGUACCCAACCAGGCCCCAUGGCCUUUUGGGUUUGUUCCUCUUUUUCUUUUAUUUAGUUCUAAUUUAGUUGGUUUACUGUACAUGUGGAAGAAGAAUCUUUUAGAAUCCCUCUUCCCUUUCUUCUCCCCACCUCUCUCCUCACCCACUUCUUUUAGAGUACAUUUUUCUUGAUCCCUUCUCUUUUAAAAAAUUUUAUUCAUUUUUCAAGGUGCAGUUUACAUAGACUAAAAUGCUGUCAUAAUUGUACAGUUUGAUAUUUUUUAUAUAAGCGCAUGCCUCUGUAACCAUCAGCCAGAUGAAUUUUAUUUCUGUCUCUCUAGAAAGUUCCAUCAUGCCAUUUCCCGGUCAUUCCCCUUCUCAUAAGUA